Molecule: ribosomal RNA, 253 nt
Filed under: uncultured bacterium
Lineage: Bacteria
Description: partial 16S ribosomal RNA
Rfam family: Bacterial small subunit ribosomal RNA
Source: RNAcentral
UACGUAGGGUGCAAGCGUUAAUCGGAAUUACUGGGCGUAAGGCGUGCGCAGGCGGUUUUGUAAGCCAGAUGUGAAAUCCCCGGGCUUAACCUGGGAAUGGCAUUUGGGACUGCAAGGCUUGAGUGCGGCAGAGGAGACUGGAAUUCCUGGUGUAGCAGUGAAAUGCGUAGAUAUCAGGAGGAAUACCGGUGGCGAAGGCAGGUCUCUGGGCUGACACUGACGCUCAUGCACGAAAGCGUGGGGAGCAAACAGG